ACUGGGGCGCCGUUCCCCACCCGGCGCGGACUUCGGAACCGGCCCUGGGACUGACUGGCUCUACCACUCGAGCGCGUCUCCGCUGGACCCGGAACCCCGGUCGGUCCAUUCCCCGCGAAGAUGCGCGCCCUGGCGGCCCUGAGCGCGCCCCCGAACGAGCGGCUCCUUCCCCGGGACCCCGCGGCUACCCGGGACCCCGACGCCGCGCGGCCGGCGCGCAGGAGCGCAGUGGAGAGGCUGGCGGCGGAUCGCGCCAAGUAUGUGCGGGGUCGGCCGGGGACUGGCCGGGGCGUCGCUUCCGAGGGCAGCGGCCCGGGGGCGAUCAAGUGCCCGGGGAACGACCCUGGGCCCCCGGCCCGCGCCCCGGCCCCGGUGGCGCGCAGGGCUAUUGCGCGGAAGCCGUUGAGACCGGACUCGCUGAUCAUCUACCGGCAGAAAUGCGAAUUCGUGCGAGGAUCGGGCGCCGACGGCCCCAGGGCAAGCCUGGUGAAGAAGCUCUUCCAGGGGCCGGGUAAGGACAAGGCGCCGGUGCCCCGGACGGGAGACGAGGGCAAGGCCGGGAACCCGGAGACGGUCCCGACCACUCCUGGCCCCGCGGCGGACCCCGCAAUCCCCGAGACCCCAGCCCCAGCCGCGCGGUCCGCGGCGCCCUCCAGUGUCCCGGCCGCGCCCCCUGGGCCAGAGCCGCGGGUGGUGAGGCGUCGGGGGCUGCAGCGCUCACAGUCGGACCUCAGCUCCCGCUAUUCCGCUGCCUUGGCCGAGUCUGACACCUUCUUCCAGUACUGCGGCCUGGACCCCGAGGUGGUGGAGGCCCUGGGGAGGGAGAACUUCACCGCGGGGUCGGACUGUGUGACCCUCAAGGUGCGCAGCGUGAGCGUCGCCACCUCCGGCAGCGGCUUCUCCCGGCACAGCGGCGGCGACGACGAGGGGCUGCAGGAGGAGGAGCUGAUAGAGCAGGUGCCCAGCACCACUUCGGUCAUCGAGAGGAACGCCCGCAUCAUCAAGUGGCUGUACACCUGUAAGAAGGCCAAGGAGACCCCCAGCCAGGAGCAGAGCCGGACCCGAGAAGUCCCUUGUUCUGAGACCAGUUCUGCAACUUCUGGAAGAUGUGGAAGCAGGAAUUUAAGCUGUGCUUUUUCUGCUGAAAUUUAUAAGGAUUCAUUUUAGGAUUUCUUGAAAGAUUCAGAAAACUUGAGACGAACAAAGCUAUCUUCACAUUUAUCCUUGACACAAAGAAAAAAGAAAUACCUGUAGAAGCGCAUCGAAAGCUCCUGGAACAGAGUUGUGUCUCAUAUUUGCAAAGAUGCAGAAAAAAUAAACCCGGGACAUCCAGCUUUCUUUUCCUUUCUUCUUUGACUAUUCUGAGAAGCUAUGCGACUAGGAGCACAUUUUAGGAAGCAAACCUUCCCGAUGAUGAAGACUUCUUGAAGGAUUUCAUGGGUGAUUUGGGAUCCCAGGACCAUUUGGCUAGUGUGCCUAGGUGACCACAUGAUUGCUGUUUUACCAGGAAUGCAGCAUCCCAUUGACAAAACAAGUGCUCUGAGAAGGUUUAAAAUACUACAGAGAAUAUGGGAACACAGACCUUGAAAUUUAGCUGAGUUGUAACAGCUGAAACUCCAAGAGGUGUCUUCCUUGUUUGAGGUGAAACUAGUGUUGCUUCCAGAGGGCAGCUGGAAACCGUAAAGCUGUUUGGAAAUCUUUUUGACUGACUUGCUGACAAAGAGGUACUGUGAUGCAUUUUAACAAUAUCUAAGUUGAUUUUUUUUUAAAUCAAGGAAAAUAAAAACCAAGCAUGAAUGCUAUGGUAUGUGCCCCUUUUGACCAUCCUGGGCUGAUUAACAUCAUUUAAAUCAAAGUAAUCAUAAAAAGGCAUAUUCUACUUCAAUUAUGUGGUCAAAUAAGAGUAAACACACACACUCACACAUGCUGACCCCAAUUGCCAGAGCAUUACUGCACUAUAAAUUACGGUUAAUUCCCAAAUUAUACUACUGUUUAUCUUAUUUAACAAGUCAGAAAGCACUUUUAAAAUAACUUGAGGGCUACAAGGUCAUUCUAUUAAUGUCAUUCUCCAUUCGGGUUGUAGGCAUGUGGAAGUACCCAUUAAAAGAUAAGUUAGAGUUUAAAUACUGAUAAACAAAACCUUUUAUUGCAACUGGACAGUUUCUGGAGAGUUAGCGGAAGAAUCUUGGAGUUUCCUUUGGUCAGAUGAAUACAACAUUUCACUUUUGCAGCACUAUUUAGAAUGUACUCCAUGGUUCUCUUGUUCCCAACUUCCAAAAAGAACAGAAAACUUUGGUUUACACAGAACACGGGCAUCUGAGGCAGGACCUCUUCCCUGCCCUUUGAUCUGACUCACACCUCCACAUAUGACGUAAUCAACCCAAAUUUGACACCAAUUCACUCUUUUCUGCAAAGGGCAUAUUUUGAAACAAGGGACAGCCUGAGGGCGGCUAUAAUGAGAAUGUUCAUGGGGGUUACUGGGUCCCUAAUUCUGAACUUGCUUAUGACACCCAGAGUGAAUAGAUUCAGAUUCAGAACCUUCUGAGAAAUAACCCAAAGAAAAUUUGUUACCCAGCCAAUUCUUCGAAAGCUUAAUAUCAAAAUAUAUCUUUUCAAGAAGAAAAUCGUUAGAGAGAAGAAUGUGGAGGGGAGAGAAAUGGGUUUCUCAUUGAUAUGAUAUUUUGUUAACCAUUUCAUUUUGAAUUAUUCAAGUUUUGGUUAAUAUUGUAUUCUUUUUUCGUAACUAUUUUACCGUGAGAGUAGGUCAUUGGGUUACUUAGAUAUUUAUUUUUACACAGUUAUUAGUCUUCAGAUAGUUUUAUUUUACUUCAUAUGAUUUUAGUUUUUGUCAGUAUAAUUUUAAAUCAUGUUUUUCUUGGUCAUCUCUUUGUGUAUAUUGUGUAAUUGGAUUUUCAUUGACUGCAAGUGGAGUGUUUGCCACUCAAUUCAGUACUCAGUACUAUGGUGACUUGUUUUCAAAUAAGUCUCAGAUACACAUUUAGGGAGCCUUUGCUGGCCGAAUAUAGACUCUGUCAGGACAGCAGGUCCCCUGAUCUAAGAAUUUUCCCCAAUGGUUGCUCUAAAAAUGCUGCUAUUUUGCUGUUCACUGUAUUGCACUUAGUUAAAAAGAAGAUAAUGUGAAAGAUGAGAGCAGUUUUUUAAAGGAUCUUUUCAUAUACCCAAUUCCCUUAUUUUCAGAUGUCCCAUCAAUUUUAGAUAUGAAAGCUUUAAGUAAAAGUGUGUAUGCCUUUCUACUGUCAGAACAGGAUGGAUGCAGCCUGGGUCAGAUUUAUUUAAGAUAAAAAUCAUGCAGACUCAUCAUUCAUAUCAUAGGUGAAAAAUGUAAAAACCAAAUGGUUUCCACUAAAGCCACCAAGAUCUUUUAGAAAUGUUUGCACCUUUGGUGGUGGCACAGGAAAAGAGAAGAAUUCAGCUGGAGUGAAUUCUAGAAGUAGAUAUCAGAAACGGGGCAUGAAGAACAGGGGAACUGGGUGGCAUCAGACUCCUAAAGAAGUGAGUUAAUUUUCCUUCCCUUCCAUUCAGAUUCAUGCCACAGCUCCAUAUCUUGAGUAUGUGUAAGAGGUGAGUUCCUUCUUCAGCCAGGGGCGGUGGCUCAUGCCUUUAAUCCCAAUGCUUUGGGAGGCCAAGGUGGGAGGAUCACUUGUGCCUUGGGGUUCAAGGUUGCAGUGAACCAUGAUUGCACCACUGCACUCCAGCCUGAGUGACAGAGCAAGACCCUGUCUCUAAAAAUAUAUAUAAAAAGUAAAACUAAAGAACUUCUUGCCUAAACCUGAAUUACCGCAAUUUGCUGAGUGACUUUGAGAAAAAUCAGACUGUUUAGUUCAGUCGGGAUGAAAAGCUUGCGAUUGCUUCCCACAAGAAUGGGCAAUAGUGACGGCUGCAAGGUACUUUUAUUUGUUCAUGAAAGAACGACAAUUUUUCAAAAUGUAAUUAAACAUAAUAGAAUGUUUUAAACUACUGGGCACUGAAACUGGAAGAAAAAGGAGGCUUUAUUGAACAUUCCCCUUUUUCAGUUGGUUCAAAGUUCAGCACUGUGGUUAUCAUUGGUGAUGCCAGAAAACAUUAGUAGACUUAGACAAUUGCUAUGGCAGUUUCUAAACAGAGCUUUUUCUAUACACUAUUUGCAACUGGAGUGCAAUAUUGUAUAUUCUGUGUUAAAGAAAUAAAGUAUUUUUAUCAUUUAUUAA
Molecule: RNA transcript, 4208 nt
Organism: Homo sapiens (human)
Lineage: Eukaryota; Metazoa; Chordata; Mammalia; Primates; Hominidae
Gene: FAM110C
Gene name: family with sequence similarity 110 member C
Exons: 4
Source: RefSeq, marked validated